GUGAAUCAUCAAAUUUUUGAACGCAAAUUGCACUCUCUUCGGAGAGUAUGCCUGUUUGAGGGUCAGCCUAAAAAAAAAUCGACAUAUUCGCUGUUUCGCGGUUACAUUCGUUGGAAAUUGGGUCAUCUUAAACCUUUGGGUCUUAAACUGCUUAAAAUUUUCUUUUCGAUUCCACGAACGUUUUUUAGAAUUACUUCUUUUACCUUUAAGGGAUCGG
This 217-nucleotide unclassified non-coding RNA is filed under the name Glomus sp. RNAcentral describes it as "partial contains 5.8S ribosomal RNA and internal transcribed spacer 2". The stretch from base 1 to 65 matches the Rfam family "5.8S ribosomal RNA", at positions 84 to 154 of the family's 154-position model. Lineage: Eukaryota; Fungi; Glomeromycota; Glomeromycetes; Glomerales; Glomeraceae. The record is from RNAcentral.